AACUUUGAGGGUUAGAAUUUGAUUUGGUUGGAUUUAGUAGAUUGUUUGAAGUUUCACGAUGAUUAGAACAUUAAUUUAUCAUAACUCAGGUGAUUACAAUGUAACUUAAUUAUUAGGUAGCAAUAAGUUAAUUAUGAUUAAUUAAAUUGUACUUAUUUUGACAUUAUAAAAUGAUGUCUAAAAAUACUCAUUAAAUGUACAAUAAUGAAUAUCGGAAAUCAUGAGUAAAUGUUUUUAGACUAGUUUGUGAUUGGUGAUUAAUUGUUAGAUGGGUUAAGUGUCACAUAAAUAAUCAUCUGCUUGGAUUGAUUAACGUUAAUCACUUGGAUAUAAAUACCAUAACUCACUGAUAGUUGAUCAUCAUUCAUUGGUUAACCGUAAUCGAGUUAGAACAAUUUAAUUUCGUGACUUUAAUCAACUAAGAUCCAAACAAAAUCCAAAAAACAAUGGAAGCCAAAACCCUCAUCGUUUACAUUGCCGCUUUCGCUUCAGCAAUCGCCUUGGUUUUUGCUGAACCCGAACCAGAGCCUGAACCAAUCUUGAAAUCUAUUGGACUUGAUCUUGGAGGUAUUCUCGGUUGAACAAUCAAUUGAUUCAUUUGAUUAAUAUUAAUAUUAUCAACAGAAUAAUAAGAAAUUAACAUGAAAUAAAAUUAAUUUGAAAAGCAA
Molecule: long non-coding RNA, 668 nt
Organism: Panonychus citri (citrus red mite)
Lineage: Eukaryota; Metazoa; Arthropoda; Arachnida; Trombidiformes; Tetranychidae
Exons: 2
Source: RefSeq, a predicted model, not a curated record